RNAcentral lists this long non-coding RNA (12473 nucleotides) under Ananas comosus (pineapple). Its description in RNAcentral is "long non-coding RNA (ACOM_LNC036421)". The record is from RNAcentral. Lineage: Eukaryota; Viridiplantae; Streptophyta; Magnoliopsida; Poales; Bromeliaceae.
UGAGUCGUAGUGUAGGUGAAACCUAUGGACUAUAUGAUGAUUGUAACCCUAGAGGAUAGGGUAUUCUCGAGACGAGGAUUGGAUCAUGCUCACGGUCUGUUUCUAAAUCUUGUGAUGGAAGCCCCACACAAGUAGUGCGCUCCGGAUGUUGGUCACGUGGGAUCGCCUAUUUCGGGUCCCAAGGGUUUGCCUAUUUAGGCCCCGGCAGACGGUCUCGGUUCGUAGCGUGAGUUGACCCUCCCUACCUUCGAGAUGGCUAGUGAGCAGUAGGCUCCUUCAGGGAAGCCACGAGAUUAAGAAACAAGAAAAUGAACAUGACGACAGGUUAGUUGCUUACCGUUUUAUUGAACAUGUAUUCAUGUAUCUAUGAUUGGGCACAGUAGUGUAGCUUUACUUUCCUGUCUUUACAGCUUUACUUAUAUAUCUAUCUAUCGAUUAUCUACUUGUGCCCGCUUGGACCUAGUGGGGAGAUCGGCGGAGUCGGCGGCCGAACCCACUGGGAACUAAGGAAGUUAGUUCUCACCCUCAUUUUACCACAGGUUCGAGUUCGGGUGCCCCCGGUGAGCGUGAGGAUCGCGGUAAGGCCCCGGCGCUCUAGUCGCACUAGCUACCUCCCUUUUGCAUUAGCUGUCACCCUUUUUGUAUUGAGAGUAGAUGUUGUAUAGGGUGAGGUUUGAGUGAUUGUAUUCAUAUUUUGGAAGGAAGUAAGAGAUGUAAUUGAAUGUGUUAAGUCAGAUGAAUGUAAUAGAUAGAUGUUCCUCUCCUUAUCAUUACUUGUAUGUUCUAUACUUGUAUCUUGCUCUUGGUUGUUUUGCACUAAUUGUGCUCUCGUUGUAGUUAUCGAUUGUGUAUGUAUUCAAGUUAUUUUCCUGGGAACUUGUUGUACACAAUCUCGUUGUUAGCCUUGGGCGGACAGGGGAGGUGCUGUCCGUCCGGCGUCUGUUCGACGUGCCCGGGCCGAGCCAAAUUGGUAGCGGUCGCGGGGCGUGACACUAAUGUUAUACAUUAUCUUGGAUACUCUCUGUUUUGCAGAAAAUCAAGACUUCAAGACUCCUAGUUGCGUCUAAGUCAUAGAGUCUAUGUGAUGCACUGGACCUUUGCAAAUUGAAAGUUUUGAGCAGCCCAAGGAUCUAUCUAAUUUGUAUCUAUCACCUAGAGGGGGGUGAAUAGGUGAAAUAGCCAAAAACUACAAAUCUCAAUGCGAUAAAAAUAAAUGCGGAAAAUAAAAUCACACCGAGAUUUAUGUGGGAAAACUCCAAUUUGGAGAAAAACCCACGGGACCAACAUGCGAAAAAACAAUUCGCUAAGAGAAAAGAUUACAAGGUGAUUACCGACUCCACGGACUCAACCUCUCUUAACCUCCUAUGAAUCUCGUGCAAUCCUCCGGGUUGUCCACGCCCUCACGUUUGAAUCCACGAACGCCACGUCUCGAAUCCACGAAACGCCUCGCACACGUCCGAAUCCACGAACGCCACUCGAAUCCACGAGCCUUUGAUCCGAAUCCUCGAACCGUCGUUAAUCACGCCGAAUCCACGACGCCGUUUAUGAAGAGCAUCAUGAUUAUGGUGACCUUCGCUUAGAGUAUCGUAGAAAACCAAGGAAGAAGACUGCAAGCGAAGACUAGAUCAAAUCGACAUAUAGCGAAUGCGAAACGAUACCUCGAUUUGAUCUAAAGAGGCUAAUUUGUAGAAAAUAGGUUUAGAACGAAAUAUUAGCCUCUAGGGUUCUUUAAUUGUGUAUUCUUAUGAUAGAUCAUCGAUUAGAGAACCCCUAUAGCUUAUAAAAUUUCUUUCCAUAUUCAGCACCUUGUACCGGUACACGGGAAGCUGUCCAGGGUACAGCAUGACGGAAGAUUUUUCUGCGAAGCUUCUGUACCCUGAACAGACUGCAGCUUGUUUCGGAACAAGGCUUGUACCGGUACAACCAUGAUGGUUGUACCGGAACAACCAUCGUAAUUCCCUGCGGCAAUAGCCGUUGUCUGUACCGGUACAGAAAAACCCUUGUACUGGUACAACAAUGCAAUUUUCACUGAAAAUGCAUUGUUUUGAGUUUUACAAGCUCUGAGAAACUUUCUAAUCAAUUACAGCUUAGAAAUUAUGAUUCUAAGAUCUAUAAUUAAGUAUGAAUCACCAUAAACAAGAUUUAAAGCUUACCUAAGCAUCGUGAUUCAAGUUUUGCGUGUUUUGCGUCCUUUCCGAUUCUUCGAAGUCUUGGAUUCUUCGAUCUUCAAUACUCCGCUCCGAACUUCUUCAGGACUCCGACUCGACCCACGAAACUUGCCAACACAUAGGACCUAACAAUCUCCCCCUUCGGCAAUUUCGUGACAAAACACACUCAAAACACAAACAUUACAUUUAAAGGAAAGACGAAGUUCAAUUGUCAUCACCAAAACAAUAAACCUAUCACAUGUAAUCCGAAUACAAAUUAAAACUCAAAAUACAUUCAAAACUCCUAAAACAGAGUCUAUGACUUAGACGCAACUAGGAGUCUUGAAGUCUUGAAAUCCUGCAAAACAUUCCACAAUAAUAUAAAGUUUUACAUUCAAUUGAUUCUUUUACAAUUCUCCCCCUUUGUUCAUCACUUCUCCCUUACAUUCAAUUGAUUCUUUUACCAUUCUCCCCCUUUGUUCAUCACUUCUCCCCCUUUGUUCGUGAACCUGUUCAUCACUUCUCCCCUUUGUUCGUGAACCUGUUCAUAUUGUGAUCUCCCCCUUUUUGUCUGAAAAUUGCCAAAAAGCAUAAAAAGAGAAAAUCCACUAGAAAGAAACAUCAAAGUUAAAAUAUAAAUACAGGCCUAAGAGAGAAAGCAACAAAUACAAGUAGAAGUGUAAACUAAACAUGAAAACAUAAAUCUAAGAUAAAACAUGAAGCUCUAGAAAACAUCACUCUGUGUCCUCGUCGUCGUCAUCCUCUGUGCCAGCACCAGAUCCAGAUGCUCCAGCGUUUGACGCACCUGUCGCAAGAGGAAUGAGUGGAUGUCGGGAAGAUGACCGCUGAUACGUGGCAUAAGAUAGAGUAGGCUCCCAAAUAUCAUCAUGUCGACACCCCAUCUUAUCCAUCAUUCUCUUGAUACUUAAUUCAAACUUCUUGAUGCUUGAUUCAACUUUUCUCCCAAUAUUGUUCACAUUCUUCUUUAAUUUUCGCAAAUCCUCCUUAACUGAUUCCAACGUCGUCGCUCCCUCCGAACUAGAUGAAGUAUCAUAACUUCCUCGAGAUGUAGGCGGAGGAGCAGAACUAGAAGCUGCUCUCGGUGGAGGUGCUGGACUAGAUGCUUCAGGAGGUGGCCCUUUCGUCUGAUGGAAUGACUUGAGAGUGCUAACUGACUUAGCCCAAGUCACUGAGUCAAUAGGCCCAAGGCCAACAUCAUACUUGUCGCAAGAUGUAUCCACUCCAUUGGCUUGAAGAAUCCUCGUAAUCAGAACAGGGAAUGGUAGUAGAUCCCGUCGAGUAGCACCCUGAAUUACGUGAAUCAUCCUUUGCCAGAUCAGAAAUGGAAUGUUGAUGUUCAACCCACGAGCCUGCUCGGGAUAACCAAGUAGAUAUAGCAACACUAAUCUCUCCCAGCGGAUCCUCUUUGUGCCGAUAGUUGGUUGAAUAUUGUAGCUCAUAACCAAGGAUAGCAAGUGAUACUCAGGUAAUAAGUCCUUGGAUUCAAUGUAACCAUGAGUCAUGUACACACUAAUCCCUCAAGAUAUACUUACCUUUCCACGAACGACUUUUACUACUUUGUCCGUGAAAAUAGAAGCUCUGACAACACGCAGUCUCCUCUAAAGGUCAAUGGGGGAUACUAUAACCUCUCUAGAACCCCUACGUACACCUGUGAAGACCAGAAUAGAUAUGAAGUCCUCCUAAAGUUCAUAGUUGAGUGUACUUAUAACAAGAACCUCGAUAUACGUUUCGGCNGGAACAUCCCGAAUCAGGUCAUUGAAGUUCACGAAGCGUUCAGCUAUGCAUGACUUCGACAUAUAUAACCUUUGUCGUGCUGGAGGGACAUCCGCGGCUUGUUUUGUAUGUCCCGCACGCGUACAAGAACCACCGCCAUGAGAUGAUUCGCCCACAACAGCCUUUCCUUUAGCAGCUCGAGUCGCCGCUUCUUCUGUUUCUUCCUGCGAGCUUGCUUGAUACUCCGGAUCUGAACCGGACUCUCCUGUAGCAGCACGGGCUCUCUUUGAGGUCUCUCGGCGACCUCGACCACGUCCACGACCGCUGCCCGCAGCCAUAAGCACCGUCAACACCAAUACGAGGAAAAACGUCAUUUUCCUACACCAAAAAUAGCAUACAUGAACAAAUUUUUGAAAACAUCUGUAAAAAUUAGCAAGUAAAUUUCAAAUAUCCUUAGAAUGCAUACUAAUGCUAUUUCAAACCAAUUCAUGCAAAAAAUUUCAGCAAAAAUCAAAAUUUUUUGAAAAAUCCCGAAACUACAUGCAUAUUAAAGCAUAAAACUUAGAUCAGCGAAAAAAAACUUGCUUUGAUGUUGUUCAAGUAUUCUACAAGCAAGGUAAUGCCCUAAAACACUGAUCUAUAGCAAAAAAUUGCAUCAAAAACGAAUCAAAUUAGAGAUCAAACUAUAUCUCAGAAUUUUCUGAAAAAUAGGCAAAAACGAGGUUGAAUCACGAAGUCCGAGCUAAAUACUUACAAAUCUAAGGGGGAAAGCAGUAGAUCUGGAGGAGGAAGAUCCCAGGAGCUCUCAGGACAAUAAAAAUCGUGAUUUAGUUUCGAUUUGAGGCAAAACGAAGCGCUAUACCCGGUUAUAAGCCGCUCGUGUACAGACCUUGUACCGGUACACGGGUUCUUGUACCGGUACAAGGACCAAAAUGUGAAAAAAAAAAUUUCAAAAAUUAUGCCUUAAAAAUCCAUCAAACUUAAAUUAAUUUCAUACAAAUUAAGGAUUUAACUCCAAAAAUCAUUAUAAGGUGAAAGAUAUGGAUCCCGAGGAUCAAAAAGGUAAGUAACACCUAGAUGGGGGUAAAUAGGUGUAAAAACGGCAAACUCAAAAAUCUCGAUGCAUACAAAACGAAAUAGCGGAAAAUAAAAUAGCACACCGAGAAUUUAAUGUAGGAAAACUCCAAACAGAGUGAAAAACCCACGGGACCGAUCACGUGAAGAAAAUCCACUAAGAAAACUUGAGUACAAGUGAUUUUGACAAAAAUACACAACUCAAUUUACCGAAUUCCCGUUGAUGGUGAUCUUCGCCGGUCCUCGAUCGAUAGGAAUCCUCCAACCGAUCCUGCCGCAACUCCUUGCAGCGUCAACGCCUCAACUCCUCGAAGCGUCCACCGAAUCCUCGGCUUCACGCGAUAUCCACGCGCCGAACCUCCUUCCGGAGCUUGUAGAAUCGAAGAUUUGUGGUGAUUUAAUCUUUGAAUCCCAUAAGCGAUGAGGGUCCGUCUUCUAAUCAAACAUCAACUUGAUUCUCGAAUAAGAUCUCGAGUAAAAUCAAAGAACCAAGUCGAUUGUUGAUUUUUCGAAACUUGUUAUGUGAGUAGAAUCAUUGGAACGGAAAAACAAGUUUCUAGGGUUUAAAAUCAAUAAAUAUUCAAAGCCUUAAAUUUUAAGAUGAUCCCCAUCGCUUAUUUAUAUGUUUAAAAGACUUAGAUGUAGACUAGGAUUGCAAAAAGUCCUUUUUUAAAAACAUGUGUCGUCCUCAGAGACCGGUCUUCUCGAGGAGACCUGUCUGUGAGAGACCGGUCUCUCAAGUAAGAGACCGGUCCCUCGUUGCGUGACAAUAAAUCACAACGUUCGGGAACCGGUCUCUCAUCUCAGGGGACCGGUUGCCUCAACAUUCACGCAGUGAGGACCUUAGGGGAACCAGUCUCUCAACCUCAGGGACCGGUCCCAGAAUACAUAAAAGUUCAGUAAAAUAGUUUUAAAGCAAUCUAAGCCUUCUGAACUUAUUACAACUAAACAUCUUCACCAUAAAUCAUCUAUUCUUCAUACCUGAAGUGCCGAGCUUUCCGAAUGAGUUUUUGUUCUCCAAUUUGAAUUUUUUCUUCAAACAUCCGCGAUCAAUUCUUCAAGACUCCAUUCAACUUUACGAAAUCCGCCAACCUAUAAAAUCCUUAACAAUCUCCCUCUUUGGCGAUUUCGUGACAAAAGAACAUUACAAAGCUCGUACACAACUCAGAAACAAUAAAAAGAAGAUCAUCGCAAUCACCAAACGACAAUCUCCUGCAUGAUCGAUCCAAUAAACAAAAAUUAUAUUUUUCAAACCUUAAUACAGACUCUAUGACUUAGACAUGGAGUCUUGAAGUCUUGAAUAUUCCUGCAAAAACAUUCUUAAAGCACAAUCAAGAUUCAAGCAUACUUAUCAUAAACAAUCAAAGUAACAAGUCAUAGUAGUUCAAUAGUUUAUCCAAGCAAGUCAUAGUUAGUCAUUUACACAACUAAGCUAAAUGCAUCACAAGACAUCAACAUCAUCAUCAUCAUGAGCCAUCAUCAUCUCCCCCUUUUUGUCAGAAAGCGCCAAAAUGACAAAAGGAGGAACCCCACACAGUCAGUCGGAAUCAUCUCCCUGCGGAGGAAGAUCUGAGCUGCAACAUUCUGGUUUAUCAAAAAUGACCUUCAUCAAACGCUUGAUUUUGCCGACAUCCUUCCGUAUAUGAGCUUGAUCUGCAGAAAGUUUUUGAAGCUCCUCAGAUAACCGUUGUUGCUCCCGAUAUACUGACGAAACCGAGACAUCCUUCUCAGAUAUAUCCAUGGAAGGACGGGAAGAAAUAGCAGCAGCAGGAGGUGGAGCAGCAGAAGGUAAAGAAGCACGCUGGGACGGAGUUCGAAGCUGCACAGAGGAUUUCACGAACGUUCUUUCAUUGAUCCUUCCCAAACUAUGCUCAUACGAUGUACAACGAACAUCCACGUCAUGAAGUCACAGAAUCCUCAUGAUAAUUAAUGGAAAUGGCAACCGUUCAUUUUGUCCAGAAGUUUUGAUGUCCAUUGCCAUUCUCCGCGAGAUCAAAAAUGGGAUAUUCAUGUUGAUAUUUUUCGCACUUACAAUAUCAGGCCUAGCCAAUAGAUACAUGUAUAAAAUGCGAUCCCAUCUCAAAAUCUUCGUGUUUGCGAGAGGCAAAAUGUUGUAGCAAACCACGAAGUUCAAGAACCUGUACUGUAAUACACUGGACUUUCGCAAAUUGCAGAGUUCAAGUGGGUGGAAUGAAGUGUGGAAUUAUUCUACAUGUUCUAAUGGACUUGGACAAGUUUUUGAACAAGUUAGAGGAUGAUUGGAAUGUUAAAAGUGAGAAAGUGCAUUGAACUGGCGAAAAUCAGCCUUUUCUGCUUGCUGUACCGAUACAGACAUUACCUUGUACCGGUACAAGCUGGCAGAUUCGUGGCAGCAAGGUUAGUUUUGUAAUUUCACACUUGAUCCCUAUCUAUAUAACCCCUGCACGACCCCAGGAGCUCAGUGGGGUAUGCUGGAGCUCAGAGAAAGGUUCUUCCACCUUCCUCACUCUCUCUAGGGUUUUUCUCUCUCUACAAAGAAUUCGCCGAUUUCGCUCGUUUUCGUCGCAACGUUGGUUCUUCGCUGUUCGCAUGUGUCGCAGGGCCUACGUGGACGUGUGAGGGAGUAUUUUGGAGAGUUUUUCGUAGCUCUGAACCAGUGAGGUGCUGGUUGGAGGCUUGAGAAGGUAUGUGACUCGAGUUUUCCGUUAUCGACGUUCUAUUAGUCGAUUUGAGUAUUGCUUUUGAGUUUCUGCUUCUAGCUGUAUUCUUCUGAGAUUUCAGCAAUUAAAGUUGGAUUAAUUAGCUGUGAAUUAAGCUCCUUAGACUAGGGAUAAGCUUCUUUGAAGGUUAAUUGAGAGGAUUAGCCAUUUAUGAAGCUAAAUCGGAACUAAAUGCAAUUAUUGGAGCGACUUGAUGUAAUUGGGGAUUACUUCUUCGCAGCAGGUCCUCGAGCUUUGUUGAGCUGAACUUGUACUCUUUGAAGCUGGUUUAGAAGGUACUCUAACCUAAGGUAAGUAAGAAUUUUAGUUAGGAAGCUGAAAUUGCAAGAUUCCGACCAUAAUUGCUAUUAUAUGGUGAGUUUGAUGCCGUUUCGAUUUUGUUCGCAGCGUGAGUGCGAUCGAGCCUUGGAUCAUCGUUAGUUGACUCGUGAGAGCUCUUGGAGACUUAUCUUGAGGUAUUACAUUAGUCCCAAAACAGGGAUUUAAGGGGUUACUUUGUACUAAGUGUAAUUUAGGCCGAAAUCGGAUAUUCCGGUCGUUCUUUUGACGCGGUGUUAAUGUUUGUUUUCAGCAGGAUUGGAGCCGACUUUUUACGACUUCUUGUGAUUAUUGGGAGCAUAGUACUAGGUGGGUUUGACCUAACCAGAGCAAGUGAAGCUCCCCUAUGUUCUAUAUGUAUUAUAGACGUGGUUUAAUUAUAUGCCUAUGUGAUUGUUAAAGGACUCGGAAUUCGUCAUCAUAACGUUUAUCAUAUGUGAAAUGAGCGUUCAUGCAUAAAAGUACUCAUGCAUUAAAGUAUUCUUGUUUAGUUCAGUAGAACAACCAGGAGAUCAGUUUAUUAUGUUUCUAUGAUAUAGAGAACAUAUAUACAUGAAAAUAUUUCUAUUUAUAUUCAAUACAGUUGAAUGGCUUAUGAACAAGUGUAGGAUGCACUUUAAAGUAGAGAACAAUGACAUUCUCCUGACUUUAACGUAGAGAACUAUGACAUGCUCAUGACUAUGUUGAUAGUGCCAUACUAGUGGAAACAUUAUAAUGCUAUGUGAUUUAGCUUUACCCUUAUAUGUUUACAAUCUAGUGGAUACUAGCUUUUGUUACUAUUUGUGUAUUGACAUUCCGAUCAGAGGAUCGAGGGUAUGAACUUUGCAAGUGAAAAUAUGAAAAUUGAGACAUGUGGAUAAUGGACUUUGCUUGCUUGCCAUCGUGCUCAUUCGCACACGCUUGUGAGGGUAGCUCCCUACAAGCCGGCACUCCGGAGUUGGCCUACGCGACAGUUGCUCGCCGUGCGGGAUUGGGUGCCGAAGUGGAUUGCCGUGGGGAGUGUAUACUACCACGGGGCCAUUAGACGCGGCGCAAGCUGGACUACCUUGAGUAGGUCCUAGUGAAUGAAAAUGAAAGUGGAAACGAUAAUGAUAGUAAUGAAUGAGUAUCAGUUGUAAUGUACAGUAGUACUUAGUACUUCUACGAUUAUGUUUAUGUUCAUGUUUAUAGUAGUUUCGAUACUUCUAUUAUUCAGUUGAUUCAUUACUGCAGAAAUCAUGUUUACAUGUUGAAUACAUGCCUGUUACUGGUUAGCACUGCAUAUUUCUAUAUCAUGCAUUUAUCGCUUUUACUUACUUUCAAUACAUCAUGAGCCUAGUGGUGUAAUUCGCCGAGGCUGGCGGCUUACCCACUGGGAAUUAUUGUUAAUAGUUCUCACGCCCUUUUGGUGGUUGUUUUUACAGAGCCAUCUGCAGGAGAGACUAGGGAUCGUGGCAAGGGAGUCGCGUCUAGCUAGACAUUGCUAGGAGCAUGCUAGUCGAUCACCUUGCUACUCGUACUACGACCGAGGGUGAUGUCCCUUUGUAUAGAGAAACCACCAUUGUACCUAUCCUAUUUUUGUAUACUCGUGAUGUAUAUGUACUACUUGGACCGUGAACUACAGUUGUGAUACUUCUCUUCUGUCGAGAUUUUGGAUUGUAUUUUUCUUUGUUCUUUUACUGAUAGUAUAUCGACUUGUACAUUGCUCUGAUAUCAGGAUAGGACUUUCUUUGUUUCACUUCCUAUCAACUUGCUUUCUUCGUAGACGCCUUAUAUACUGCAGGUGUAUGGCGGGUCUGUGCACGUGCCGGAUAUGCUUCCGCUGGUACCCGGGCGUGACAUGUACUCCAUCUUGAAAUCCUUGGAUAAAAUCAUAAUUCCGUUGGACUCUGUUCCCAGCAUGCAAAUAGAGUUCACGACACGGUUCCAAUCGCGAAGUGAGUCAAACCCGGCCUGUAGAUAUUCCACUCCCUCAGUUCUUGCUUCCAUUCCUAGCACAGACGCUAUCGUAUCGGGAGUGAUUGAUAACUCAACACCACGUACGGAAGUGGUGAAUACGUACGGGCCCCCAUCGGAGUCACUCAAGUGACCUGCUCUCAUAUAGAAUUCUCUAAUCAACCCCAAACAGAACGCAGUUUGUUCCGGAAAAUCACAAAUUUGAUGAAGAUUUCCUUUUUCAAAUAAAUCCUAAAAUCCUGUCACACAGUCAACGAUACUGGCGACGCCAACAUCGUGCUCACCAAUACAAUGUUUCGACGAGUACAUUGACCUUCGAGCUGACGGAACAUCCUGUAGACUGAGACGCGGAGGCUCAGAACCUGAUUCUCUAAUUUCAACACCCCCAGACUUCCGACGACCAGUAUAUCCAGAUGCCUUUCCUUUUCCUUUAUCCUUUGCUUUGCCUUUCCCUUUAUCAAUGGCUUUUCCUUUGCCCUUUCCUUUUCUUGUAUCCUUUUCCUUAGCCAACAUCUUUGGAGUAAAAGCCUCCCAGUCCGGCUCGUCCUCCUCAGAUUCAUCGCCAGGAACAUAUUCGCUCCCUUCAUCCUCCGGUUGUUGCUCAACCGGCCGUUUACCCGAAGAGCGCUGUCGUUUACUUCCGCGACCACCCCCGGCCAUCAGGACCACAAGCACAAGUAACCAUGAAUACAUUUUGAAGGAAUCCCCUGUUAAACAUAAUGAUAUUUUACAAAUGAAACAUAAGAACACUUUAUUUUUGAUUCCAAAAAUUUUCAGCAAAUUGAUAUAUAAAUACUAGAUAAUCCUAGGGGCCACAAAACAUGAGAAGCAUGAACAACUUAAGCAACAAAGAUCAGUAAAACCACAUGAUCCCAAAAAUUCUAAAAAAAAACUGGGUUUUGAUGAUGAAAAAUCUACAAGAAUGGACCAAAAAGAUGAAGAAAUACAAGAGAAUAUGGAAACAGCAGGUCUAAGAACAAGAUCAAAGCACAUUAAGGCAGAUUUAGCUAGAUCUUUAGAAGAAACACCAAAAAAUCUGAAACACAACUCAUUUUCGGAGUAUAUGAUGAAAAUGCAACAAAAUUCGAAAAUCAUACCUAAAAUCAGUGCAAAUCCACGAGGAACGUGAGGAAAUACCGAUCUGGAGACAAGGAAAGAGCAAGAGAGAAAAUAGGGAAAAGAUUAAAACGCGUACAAAGCACAUCGAACGAAAACCCCUUUAUCGGGUCGGGCGGAGGGACCGGUCUCUCCAGCCUCGGAUCGGUCCCAGAGCCUGGAACUUAAAAAAAAUUUGAAAUAAGCUCGAAAAUUCUAGAAAAAAUAUAUGUUAUCCCUUAAUGUUUAAUCAACAAAAAUAACCAAUUUCCAACCAAAAACUUCAAAUAAAAUUUCAUAAAUAAAUUUUGAAAAAUCAAUUUCAAGGAUAUUCAAAUUGUCAAAAAUUGUUGACCCGAAAAUUAAUGAAAAAUUCUAGAUACAUAUAAAAUAAAAUCCCACACAUCAUGCAAGAUCUAGGAAUUUAUUGUAUUAUUUUAUCAUCAUAUUUGUUAAAGAAAAUAUAUAAAUAAUUCUUAGAAUCGUGAAAUUAAAAUAAUAUGUUCAAAUUGAGUUAUGCACAAUAUUCGAGACAAGAGUGGCUCUUUGAGCAUCUUUUUAUUAACAUUCCACCUUAUAUCACCUUCGAGAUGUAUAGCUCUUUGAGCAAAUUUUUUUCUUCUCUGAAAAGUAUUUUCCUUUUGUUUUAUAGAGUUACUUUAAUCAACAUGUGGUAACUGCACACACUGACCGGACGACCGGGGUGGUAGCUCUUUCCUCCAUGUGGUGGUAGUUUUCACACUCCCAGCAGGGAUGUAACUCUUUCCACAUCUUGAAUUUCAGAAAUUUUAUAACCAAAAUCGGAAAGACUCCCCCUAAAUUAGUCCAACUCUCAAGUUAAAAAUAUUAUUGCAAUUUCAAAAGCAGAGAAUGAUUUAUUCAUCUCAUAACUAAUAAUCAAACAAAUAAUUGCAACAUUCAAAGUUCAAAUCAUGAGGUGUUGAAUUUGAUUCAGCAUGCUAAACAGAAUUUCAAUAAUUUAAUCGUUCAAAAAUGAUGACAAUAGAGAAUAGCAUUGAUAUUGACCAAUCAAAAACUAAAAGUUUUGAGGAGCCCAAGGAUCUAUCUAGAUUGUAUCUAUCACCUAAAGGGGGGUGAUUAGGUAAAAUAGCCAAAAAACCACAAAUCUCAAUGCGAUAAAAAUAAAUGCGGAAAAUAAAAAUCACACCGAGAUUUACGUGGGAAAACUCCAACUUGGAGAAAAACCCACGGGACCAACACGCGAAAAAAUAAUUCACUAAGAGAAAAGAUUACAAGGUGAUUACCGACUCCACGGACUCAACCUCUCUUAACCUUCUAUAAAUCUCGCGCAAUCCUCCGGGUUGUCCACGCUCUCAUGUUCGAAUCCACGAACGCCUCGCACACGUCCGAAUCCACGAACGCCACUCGAAUCCACGAGCCCACGAUCCGAAUCCACGAACCGCCGUCAAACACGCCGAAUCCACGACGCCAUCGUGAAGAACAUCAUGUG